RNAcentral lists this ribosomal RNA (427 nucleotides) under uncultured bacterium. RNAcentral's name for it is "bacterial SSU rRNA". It matches the Rfam family "Bacterial small subunit ribosomal RNA", at positions 355 to 773 of the family's 1533-position model. The record is from RNAcentral.
UGGGGAAUAUUGGACAAUGGGGGAAACCCUGAUCCAGCGACGCCGCGUGGGUGAAGAAGGCCUGCGGGUUGUAAAGCCCUUUCGGUUGGGAAGAACAGUAUUGACCUAACACGUCAGUACCUUGACGUAACCAACAAAAGAAGCACCGGCUAACUCUGUGCCAGCAGCCGCGGUCAUACGUAGGAUCCAAGCGUUAUCCGGAUUUACUGGGCGUAAAGAGUUGCGUAGGUGGUAUGUUAAGCAAAUAGUGAAAUCGUGUGGCUCAGCCAUGCAUCCAUUAUUUGAACUGGCAAACUUGAGAGCGAGAGAGGUAGAUGGAAUUACUAGUGUAGGAGUGAAAUCCGUAGAUAUUAGUAGGAACACCGAUGGCGUAGGCAGUCUACUGGCUCGUUUCUGACACUAAGGCACGAAAGCGUGGGGAGCAAAC